CUUGACGGAGCCGAGCCACAGCGGCCGGUCCUCGGGGCGGUUCUUGCCGUAGGCGGUCAGCAGGGCCUGCGCCUC
Non-coding RNA from Streptomyces sp. C, 75 nucleotides. Lineage: Bacteria; Bacillati; Actinomycetota; Actinomycetes; Kitasatosporales; Streptomycetaceae. The record is from Rfam.